Molecule: non-coding RNA, 23 nt
Filed under: Arabidopsis thaliana (thale cress)
Lineage: Eukaryota; Viridiplantae; Streptophyta; Magnoliopsida; Brassicales; Brassicaceae
Source: RNAcentral
GAAAACUCGAAAUUAGGGCUUUA